Molecule: ribosomal RNA, 405 nt
Filed under: uncultured bacterium
Lineage: Bacteria
Description: bacterial SSU rRNA
Rfam family: Bacterial small subunit ribosomal RNA
Source: RNAcentral
GUGGGGAAUAUUGGACAAUGGGCGCAAGCCUGAUCCAGCAAUGCCGCGUGAGUGAUGAAGGCCUUCGGGUCGUAAAGCUCUUUUACCAGGGAUGAUAAUGACAGUACCUGGAGAAUAAGCUCCGGCUAACUCCGUGCCAGCAGCCGCGGUAAUACGGAGGGAGCUAGCGUUGUUCGGAAUUACUGGGCGUAAAGCGCGCGUAGGCGGUCUACCAAGUCAGGGGUGAAAUCCCGGGGCUCAACCCCGGAACUGCCCUUGAAACUAUUAGACUAGAAUCUUGGAGAGGUCAGUGGAAUUCCGAGUGUAGAGGUGAAAUUCGUAGAUAUUCGGAAGAACACCAGUGGCGAAGGCGACUGACUGGACAAGUAUUGACGCUGAGGUGCGAAAGCGUGGGGAGCAAACAGG